Molecule: ribosomal RNA, 433 nt
Filed under: uncultured bacterium
Lineage: Bacteria
Description: partial 16S ribosomal RNA
Rfam family: Bacterial small subunit ribosomal RNA
Source: RNAcentral
AGCGAACGCUGGCGGCAGGCCUAACACAUGCAAGUCGAACGAACUCUUCGGAGUUAGUGGCGGACGGGUGAGUAACACGUGGGAACGUGCCUUUAGGUUCGGAAUAACUCAGGGAAACUUGUGCUAAUACCGAAUGUGCCCUUCUGGGGAAAGAUUUAUCGCCUUUAGAGGGGCCCGCGUCUGAUUAGCUAGUUGGGGAGGUAAAGGCUCACCAAGGCGACGAUCAGUAGCUGGUCUGAGAGGAUGAUCAGCCACAUUGGGACUGAGACACGGCCCAAACUACUACGGGAGGCAGCAGUGGGGAAUCUUGCGCAAUCGGCGAAAGCAUGACGCCGCCCUGCCGGGUGAAUGAUGAAGGUCUUAGGAUUGUACAAUUCUUUCACCCGGGACGAUACUGACGGUACCCGGAGAAGAAGCACCGGCUAACUUCGUG